CAUAACCUCGGGAAACUGGGUAUAAUACCCGAUAGGUCUCGAUUGCUGGAAUGCAUCGAGAUUUAAAGCUCCGGCGCCUAAGGAUGGGUCUGCGGCCUAUCAGGUAGUAGUGGGUGUAGCGUACCUACUAGCCUACGACGGGUACGGGUUGUGAGAGCAAGAGCCCGGAGAUGGAUUCUGAGACACGAAUCCAGGCCCUACGGGGUGCAGCAGGCGCGAAAACUUUACAAUGCUGGCAACAGCGAUAAGGGAACCUCGAGUGCCAGGUUACAAAUCUGGCUGUCGAGAUGCCUAAAAAGCAUUUCAUAGCAAGGGCCGGGCAAGACCGGUGCCAGCCGCCGCGGUAACACCGGCGGCUCGAGUGGUAACCGUUAUUAUUGGGUCUAAAGGGUCUGUAGCCGGCCGGAUAAGUCUCUUGAGAAAUCUGGCAGCUUAACUGUCAGGCUUUCAGGAGAUACUGUCUGGCUCGAGGCCGGGAGAGGUGAGAGGUACUCCAGGGGUAGGGGUGAAAUCUUGUAAUCCUUGAAGGACCACCAGUGGCGAAGGCGUCUCACCAGAACGGACCUGACGGCAAGGGACGAAAGCUAGGGGCACGAACCGGAUUAGAUACCCGGGUAGUCCUAGCCGUAAACGAUACUCGCUAGGUGUCGGCCACGGUGCGACCGUUGUCGGUGCCGUACGGAAGCCGUGAAGCGAGCCACCUGGGAAGUACGGCCGCAAGGCUGAAACUUAAAGGGAUUGGCGGGGGAGCACCACAACGGGUGGAGCUUGCGGUUUAAUUGGAUCCAACGCCGGAAAUCUUACCGGGACCGACAGCAAUAUGAAGGCCAGGCUGAAGACUUUGCCGGAUUAGCUGAGAGGUGGUGCAU
RNAcentral lists this ribosomal RNA (869 nucleotides) under uncultured archaeon. Its description in RNAcentral is "bacterial SSU rRNA". It matches the Rfam family "Archaeal small subunit ribosomal RNA", at positions 125 to 995 of the family's 1478-position model. The record is from RNAcentral.